This 448-nucleotide ribosomal RNA is filed under the name uncultured bacterium. RNAcentral's name for it is "bacterial SSU rRNA". It matches the Rfam family "Bacterial small subunit ribosomal RNA", at positions 329 to 793 of the family's 1533-position model. The record is from RNAcentral.
UUCCAGACUCCUACGGGAGGCAGCAGUGGGGAAUAUUGCACAAUGGGGGAAACCCUGAUGCAGCAACGCCGCGUGGGUGAAGGAGCGUUUCGGCGCGUAAAGCCCUGUCAGCGGGGAAGAAGAAAGACGGUACUCGACCAAGAAGCCCCGGCUAACUACGUGCCAGCAGCCGCGGUAAUACGUAGGGGGCAAGCGUUAUCCGGAUUUACUGGGUGUAAAGGGGGCGCAGACGGCAAUGCAAGCCAGGAGUGAAAGCCCGGGGCCCAACCCCGGGACUGCUCUUGGAACUGCAUGGCUGGAGUACAGGAGGGGCAGGCGGAAUUCCUAGUGUAGCGGUGAAAUGCGUAGAUAUUAGGAGGAACACCGGUGGCGAAGGCGGCCUGCUGGACUGUGACUGACGUUGAGGCCCGAAGGCGUGGGGAGCAAACAGGAUUAGAUACCCCCGUAU